UCCGCCAUAGCUCAGUUGGUAGUAGCGAAUGACUGUUAAUCAUGAUGUCGUAGGUUCGAGUCCUACUGGCGGAG
Molecule: transfer RNA, 74 nt
Filed under: Streptococcus pneumoniae
Lineage: Bacteria; Bacillati; Bacillota; Bacilli; Lactobacillales; Streptococcaceae
Description: tRNA-Asn(gtt)
Rfam family: tRNA
About the family: Transfer RNA (tRNA) molecules are approximately 80 nucleotides in length. Their secondary structure includes four short double-helical elements and three loops (D, anti-codon, and T loops).
Source: RNAcentral